AACGAACGCUGGCGGCAUGCCUAACACAUGCAAGUCGAACGAGACCUUCGGGUCUAGUGGCGCACGGGUGCGUAACGCGUGGGAACCUGCCCUUAGGUUCGGAAUAACUCCCCGAAAGGGGUGCUAAUACCGGAUAAUGUCUUCGGACCAAAGAUUUAUCGCCUUUGGAUGGGCCCGCGUUGGAUUAGCUAGUUGGUAGGGUAAAAGCCUACCAAGGCGACGAUCCAUAGCUGGUCUGAGAGGAUGAUCAGCCACACUGGGACUGAGACACGGCCCAGAAUCCUACGGGAGGCAGCAGUGGGGAAUAUUGGACAAUGGGCGAAAGCCUGAUCCAGCCAUGCCGCGUGAGUGAUGAAGGCCUUAGGGUUGUAAAGCUCUUUUACCCGGGAUGAUAAUGACAGUACCGGGAGAAUAAGCUCCGGCUAACUCCGUG
This 433-nucleotide ribosomal RNA is filed under the name uncultured bacterium. Its description in RNAcentral is "partial 16S ribosomal RNA". It matches the Rfam family "Bacterial small subunit ribosomal RNA", at positions 29 to 507 of the family's 1533-position model. The record is from RNAcentral.